RNAcentral lists this RNase P RNA (449 nucleotides) under Alphaproteobacteria bacterium. Its description in RNAcentral is "RNase P RNA component class A". It matches the Rfam family "Bacterial RNase P class A". From Rfam's summary of the family: Ribonuclease P (RNase P) is a ubiquitous endoribonuclease, found in archaea, bacteria and eukarya as well as chloroplasts and mitochondria. Its best characterised activity is the generation of mature 5'-ends of tRNAs by cleaving the 5'-leader elements of precursor-tRNAs. The record is from RNAcentral. Lineage: Bacteria; Pseudomonadati; Pseudomonadota; Alphaproteobacteria.
CCAGAGGAUCGGGCGGCCGUCCGCCGUCGCUGAAGCUAUGGCGGACAAGCCCCCGGGUUUAUCCGCCGAAGCCUCGGCGAAGGUGGGAGGAAAGUCCGGGCUCCACGGAACGACGGUGCCGGGUAACGCCCGGCGGCCCCGGGCUCGAUCCGGGGUCAGGGACAGUGCAACAGAAAGCAGGUCGCGCAGCCUUCGGGCCCAAGUCUUCGGAUGCGUGACGGUGAAAGGGUGGGGUAAGAGCCCACCGCGGCCCCGGCAACGGGCGCCGGCACGGUAAACCCCACCGGGAGCAAGACCGAAUAGGGACGACGCCGGGUGUUCCGCCUUGUCGUCCGGGUUGGUCGCUGGAGGGGCGGAGCGAUCCGUCUCCUAGAGGAAUGGUCGCCCAGUCCGCCGAAGCCUUGGCGAAGGCGGAUGGACAGAACCCGGCUUACAGAUCCUCUGGCAUU